This 481-nucleotide ribosomal RNA is filed under the name uncultured bacterium. Its description in RNAcentral is "bacterial SSU rRNA". It matches the Rfam family "Bacterial small subunit ribosomal RNA", at positions 241 to 717 of the family's 1533-position model. The record is from RNAcentral.
UCAGCUAGUUGGUGAGGUAAGAGCUCACCAAGGCGGAAGACGGGUAGCUGGUCUGAGAGGAUGAUCAGCCACACUGGAACUGAGACACGGUCCAGACUCCUACGGGAGGCAGCAGUGGGGAAUAUUGCGCAAUGGGCGAAAGCCUGACGCAGCCACGCCGCGUGAGCGAUGAAGGCCUUCGGGUCGUAAAGCUCUGUGGGGAGAGAAGAAUAAAGCCUGUGAAGAAUGGGCCUUGACGGUAUCUCCUUAGCAAGCACCGGCUAACUCCGUGCCAGCAGCCGCGGUAAUACGGAGGGUGCAAACGUUGCUCGGAAUCAUUGGGCGUAAAGCGCACGUAGGCGGCGAAGCAAGUCGGGUGUGAAAGCCCUGGGCUCAACCCAGGAAGUGCAUUCGAAACUAUUUCGCUUGAAUCUCGGAGGGGGUCAGAGAAUUCCCGGUGUAGAGGUGAAAUUCGUAGAUAUCGGGAGGAAUACCAGUGGCG